RNAcentral lists this unclassified non-coding RNA (311 nucleotides) under air metagenome. Its description in RNAcentral is "partial contains small subunit ribosomal RNA, internal transcribed spacer 1, and 5.8S ribosomal RNA". The stretch from base 1 to 46 matches the Rfam family "Eukaryotic small subunit ribosomal RNA", at positions 1786 to 1831 of the family's 1831-position model. The record is from RNAcentral.
AAGUCGUAACAAGGUUUCCGUAGGUGAACCUGCGGAAGGAUCAUUAAUGAACUUGGUUGGGUUGAUGCUGGCUCUCCAGAGCAUGUGCACGCCUACUCCAUUUCAACCCACCUGUGCACCUUCUGUAAACAUGGACAACUCUCGAGGAAGCUUUUCUCGGAUUUAGAAAAUUGCUGUGCAAAAGCCAGCUUUUUCUUGUGUUCCUAGUUUAUGUUUUUUCAUAUACCCUCUAAAAUGUAAUAGAAUGUUGCUAUAGGCUUUUUGUGCCUUUAAAAACAAUACAACUUUCAACAACGGAUCUCUUGGCUCUC